GAAAACGAAGGAUCCUUAAAAAUCUGGUUAUGUAAAUAUUUCACCUGGGCUUGAACCUGGAAAAGCUGUGAUCAGACGAGUAAUGGUUUGAAUUCCUUUGACAAAUGACCAGUGGGCCGCGUGGAGCAUUAAAAUCAUUUGUGUUGUAACCACUUAAUGCAUUGACAUCUCCUUUAUCUAAUUCUGUAGCUCGACUAUUACCAACGGAUUCUUCCUGUACCUCCAAACACUUAGAUCCACGUAGCUUUGUGCUAAUAUUAGAGUUCCCACAGCUAUUCAUUACAUUACUGUGCAGACGAUCUGCAUAACCUACACUUUGCAUAUACAAAAUGUUCUAAACAUGUACGAUAUACAAAUAACCGUUAUCUAGAACAAUGAACAAUGAAGAAAAUAAAAUUAUAUUUCUAUUAUACGAGAUAAUAGAGUUUACUGUCGAAGCUGAAACGAAUUCUGACGACAAUUAAGAUCGUAUUCGUCGCAAACGCAAUAUCGAUGAGUCAAAAGAGAACAGAACACUGGAUGAUCAGGAAGCAAACGAAGGGAAUAGAUAAUACAUUCGAUUUGAAAGUAUGUACGACGCUCUUUUUUAGUAAAAAAUGCAACAGUUUUGGCAAACGCUAAUCCCAAUUUAUAAAGGAUUGCUUACGUUUAAGCAACAUUUUUGGAUACGUAUAUGGUAUUCGUUAAUUUUAAUUCGAAGAUAUUUUUUAUUCCGUAAAGCACGACUGUGUCGACAACGCGACCGAAUAUGUAUGUAUGCGUUACAAAAUUUCCUAGCCGAUGAAUAUCAAAGUAUACGCUACAACCUUAUUUGUGUACGUCUUCGUUCGAGAACGAUUACCAGCAGGUACUCAAGAAUUGUAUGCGCACUCGUUCAAAAGUGAAACUCCUACUCGAAAUGUACAAGAACCAACCACAUGAAGAAGAAACGGAUCAUGCAUCGUUUAUGAGUGGUAGAUUCAGGUAGCCUCCAAUCUAUACGUUGACGUGCUCUCGGUAACUCUUGGUAACUCCUUCGUCGGCAAGUACAAUAACUCUUCCGACGUUACCUUCUCACUUUUUAAAUUCGUUCCUUGAAAUUAAUUGAAAGCUGUGCGAUACAAAGGUAAAAAAAUAACAGGCAGAAAAAGAGAGAAACGGAAAAAAGAAAAGUUGAUCAAUUAAUAGACACACCACAUGCCUCUUCCAAGUCCAAGCAUUAACGAAUCGUCGUACGUAUAACGAGGACACCCACACUACUCUUUCAUACAUCGCAUACAUAUACAUUUGCACCUAUGUAUAAAAAUAAUGAUGUAUAUAUCUACACACAUGUUGUGUACAUAUAUAUAAUUUAAUAACGAUAAUUUUGUACCUGCUCAAACAAACUAGGAACUUUAUCUGCAACUACAUGUAUAAUAUGUAUGUGGUUACAUUACAAUCGUUAAAUUUGUAGGCACUGCAAUGAAAUCGAGUGCAUGUAUCUGCAUACAUACAACGCAAAACGACAAAGCAACAAUUGCUGGACCAAUGCAAACAAUCCUGUGAAAGUGUAUUCUAAACGAUUCAGAAAUCUGAUUGGCCCAGGUCAAGCUCACUAUUCAAUUCUUUACAAUUUAGAAUUACGUACAUGUAACGUAUGUCAUACCUACAUACAUAUGUAUUCAUGCUUUCGCCGAGAGGAAAUGUGCAUGCAUACACAUGUUGUAUGGAUACUAGGGAAAUAAAGAAUACAUACAUAUAUACAGCUGGUGCGCGCAAGUGUAAACAGGCAUAACAACACUAAUAGAUUCUUAAUGGCACAAAUCAUGCUUCUGUACUUUAAUUGUCAAUUUAAAUUUGUGUCUUACAGUGUGAUACAAUCGUGUGAAAUGACUUAUUGAUUAAUAAUUAGAAAUAAUUGAUCAAUUGUUAAUUAAUUCUACAGGACGUAUAGUGCCGCAAUUUAACCGACAUUUGUUAUUUAUAAACAAUAUAAUGUAUGUACAUAGUACAAUUUACAUACGCACUCGAGUAAUCGUUACAAGUCCUAUUAUUAUUAUGGACUAGACAUAUAUGUACAUUGUACAUACGUUUGAACCGAUUUCAUUGCAAAGUCGCCUUUACGAAAUUCUAUUGUAAUUAUCGGAGGGUCUCGCUAGUCUCUAGUUAAGGGGUCUGCGUGCCGUCAAACCACGUAGCGACAGAACGCUCAAACUGAUAGACCAAUUUAUCGAUUGCACAUCAUUCUUAGAAACAUCAGAUGGCGACACCAAACAUUUCCAAAGGAUAUUUUAAUCUGUUGGCAAACGAGUAUGGUAUGGUAAAAUCUACGUUUAAUAAAUGCCAUCUAUUUCACGAACUGAA
This is a long non-coding RNA of Megalopta genalis, 2322 nucleotides long. RefSeq lists it as uncharacterized. Lineage: Eukaryota; Metazoa; Arthropoda; Insecta; Hymenoptera; Halictidae. The record is from RefSeq and is a predicted model, not a curated record.